UGGGGAAUAUUGGACAAUGGGCGCAAGCCUGAUCCAGCCAUGCCGCGUGAGUGAUGAAGGCACUAGGGUUGUAAAGCUCUUUCACCGGUGAAGAUAAUGACGGUAACCGGAGAAGAAGCCCCGGCUAACUUCGUGCCAGCAGCCGCGGUAAUACGAAGGGGGCUAGCGUUGUUCGGAUUUACUGGGCGUAAAGCGCACGUAGGCGGACUAUUAAGUCAGGGGUGAAAUCCCGGGGCUCAACCCCGGAACUGCCUUUGAUACUGGUAGUCUUGAGUUCGAGAGAGGUGAGUGGAAUUCCGAGUGUAGAGGUGAAAUUCGUAGAUAUUCGGAGGAACACCAGUGGCGAAGGCGGCUCACUGGCUCGAUACUGACGCUGAGGUGCGAAAGCGGGGGGAGCAAACAGG
This 404-nucleotide ribosomal RNA is filed under the name Actinomycetes bacterium. Its description in RNAcentral is "Actinobacteria bacterium partial 16S ribosomal RNA". It matches the Rfam family "Bacterial small subunit ribosomal RNA", at positions 355 to 776 of the family's 1533-position model. The record is from RNAcentral. Lineage: Bacteria; Bacillati; Actinomycetota; Actinomycetes.